RNAcentral lists this long non-coding RNA (1003 nucleotides) under Sorghum bicolor (sorghum). RNAcentral describes it as "long non-coding RNA (SBIC_LNC000404)". The record is from RNAcentral. Lineage: Eukaryota; Viridiplantae; Streptophyta; Magnoliopsida; Poales; Poaceae.
GAGAAACGAAACUUCAAUGGCCGUAAAUUCUCCAGCCGAGCUUAAGGGCACGUAGCAAAGAUACACACCAUGCACACAUGUAAGUAAUAGGUUGCGAUGAUAAUCAACUAUUUCCCAACCAAAUCUGCAGGCUGCAGGCCUCAUAACCAUGUACAUCCAUAAUGGGGCAAAUCUCCUUAAACUGAUAUUUGUAUAGUUUUAGUCAUUAUUACAGAAGUCUGACAGCAUGACAAAGAUGUUAUUCCAACAGCACCUACAGUUGUGUUGCAAGGUAACCCAGACGAUGUGAAAUGGGGUACAUCCAUAAUGCGGCAAAUCUCCUUAAACUGAUAUCUGUAUAGUUUUAGUCAUUAUUACAGAAGUCUGCCAGCAUGACAAAGAUGUUAUUCCAACAGCACCUACAGUUGUGUUGCAAGGUAACCCAGACGAUGUGAAAUGGGGUACAUCCAUAAUGCGGCAAAUCUCCUUAAACUGAUAUCUGUAUAGUUUGUCAUUAUUACAGAAGUCUGCCAGCAUGACAAAGAUGUUAUUCCAACAGCACCUACAGUUGGGUUGCAAGGUAACCCAGACGAUGUGAAAUGGGGUACAUCCAUAAUGCGGCAAAUCUCCUUAAACUGAUAUCUGUAUAGUUUUAGUCAUUAUUACAGAAGUCUGCCAGCAUGACAAAGAUGUUAUUCCAACAGCACCUACAGUUGGGUUGCAAGGUAACCCAGACGAUGUGAAAUGGGAAAUGUACAUCCAUAAUGGGGCAAAUCUCCUUAAACUGAUAUUUGUAUAGUUUUAGUCAUUAUUACAGAAGUCUGCCAGCAUGACAAAGAUGUUAUUCCAACAGCACCUACAGUUGUGUUGCAAGGUAACCCAGACGAUGUGAAAUGGGAAAUGCUGUUUCUCAUAAGAUGCAGCAAAAUCACUCUCAAACACCAAACAUCAGGCUGAACUUGGUGGCGAGGGGGACGGAUAUGAUGGCAACUCCCAACGCGACUCCGAAGAUACGGUGCGAGAU